This 534-nucleotide ribosomal RNA is filed under the name uncultured bacterium. RNAcentral's name for it is "bacterial SSU rRNA". It matches the Rfam family "Bacterial small subunit ribosomal RNA", at positions 953 to 1476 of the family's 1533-position model. The record is from RNAcentral.
GAUGCAACGCGAAGAACCUUNCCUGGGCUUGAAAGACUGGNUUAUCCNCCGAUGAAAGUNGGUGGAGCCGCAAGGCAAUCCAGACAGGUGCUGCAUGGCUGUUGUCAGCUCGUGUCGUGAGAUGUUGGGUUAAGUCCCGCAACGAGCGCAACCCCUAUCCCUAGUUGCCAUCAGGUAAUGCUGGGCACUNUAGGGAGACUGCCUACGCAAGUAGUGAGGAAGGUGGGGAUGACGUCAAGUCCUCAUGGCCCUUACGCCCAGGGCUACACACGUGCUACAAUGGGUGCUACAAAGGGCUGCGAAACCGCGAGGUGGAGCCAAUCCCAAAAAAGCACCCUCAGUUCGGAUUGGAGUCUGCAACUCGACUCCAUGAAGCUGGAAUUGCUAGUAAUCGCGCAUCAGCACGGCGCGGUGAAUACGUUCCCGGGCCUUGUACACACCGCCCGUCAAGCCAUGGAAGCCGGGGGUACCCGAAGUCGCUAGCCCAACUCCGAGCAAUCGGAGAGGGAGGCGCCUAAGGUAAAACCGGUGACU